This 832-nucleotide ribosomal RNA is filed under the name marine metagenome. RNAcentral's name for it is "bacterial SSU rRNA". It matches the Rfam family "Bacterial small subunit ribosomal RNA", at positions 419 to 1245 of the family's 1533-position model. The record is from RNAcentral.
CGGGUUGUAAAGCACUUUAAGCAGGGAGAAAAAGUUAUAGGUUAAUACCCUAUGACCCUGAUGUUACCUGCAGAAUAAGCACCGGCUAAUUCCGUGCCAGCAGCCGCGGUAAUACGGAAGGUGCAAGCGUUAAUCGGAAUUACUGGGCGUAAAGCGCGCGUAGGUGGUUUGUUAAGUUGGAUGUGAAAGCCCUGGGCUCAACCUAGGAACUGCAUCCAAAACUAACUCACUAGAGUACGAUAGAGGGAGGUAGAAUUCAUAGUGUAGCGGUGGAAUGCGUAGAUAUUAUGAAGAAUACCAGUGGCGAAGGCGGCCUCCUGGAUCUGUACUGACACUGAGGUGCGAAAGCGUGGGUAGCGAACAGGAUUAGAUACCCUGGUAGUCCACGCCGUAAACGAUGACAACUAGCUGUUGGGAGACUAUGUCUUUCAGUGGCGCAGCUAACGCUUUAAGUUGUCCGCCUGGGGAGUACGGCCGCAAGGCUAAAACUCAAAUGAAUUGACGGGGACCCGCACAAGCGGUGGAGCAUGUGGUUUAAUUCGAUGCAACGCGAAAAACCUUACCUACUCUUGACAUACUUGGAAGCUCUUGUAAUGAGAGUGUGCCUUUUGGAGCCAAGAUACAGGUGCUGCAUGGCUGUCGUCAGCUCGUGUCGUGAGAUGUUCCGUUAAGUCGGAUAACGAGCGCAACCCUUACCCUUAUUUGCCAGCGAUUCGGUCGGGAACUAUAAGGGGACUGCCGGUGAUAAACCGGAGGAAGGUGAGGACGACGUCAAGUCAUCAUGGCCCUUACGAGUAGGGCUACACACGUGCUACAAUGGGGAAUACAGACG